GCUUCUUUCCUCCCGAGUGCUUGCACUCAAUUGGAAAGAGGAGUGGCGGACGGGUGAGUAACACGUGGGUAACCUACCCAUCAGAGGGGGAUAACACUUGGAAACAGGUGCUAAUACCGCAUAACAGUUUAUGCCGCAUGGCAUAAGAGUGAAAGGCGCUUUCGGGUGUCGCUGAUGGAUGGACCCGCGGUGCAUUAGCUAGUUGGUGAGGUAACGGCUCACCAAGGCCACGAUGCAUAGCCGACCUGAGAGGGUGAUCGGCCACACUGGGACUGAGACACGGCCCAGACUCCUACGGGAGGCAGCAGUAGGGAAUCUUCGGCAAUGGACGAAAGUCUGACCGAGCAACGCCGCGUGAGUGAAGAAGGUUUUCGGAUCGUAAAACUCUGUUGUUAGAGAAGAACAAGGACGUUAGUAACUGAACGUCCCCUGACGGUAUCUAACCAGAAAGCCACGGCUAACUACGUGCCAGCAGCCGCGG
This 481-nucleotide ribosomal RNA is filed under the name Enterococcus faecalis. RNAcentral describes it as "bacterial SSU rRNA". It matches the Rfam family "Bacterial small subunit ribosomal RNA", at positions 68 to 520 of the family's 1533-position model. Lineage: Bacteria; Bacillati; Bacillota; Bacilli; Lactobacillales; Enterococcaceae. The record is from RNAcentral.